AGGGAAGACGAAUGACAGCCAUAGAAGAAGAGGCAUCAUCCUGUCUCUAAAUGGCAGGAGGACUUUGUAUAAGCCUUCCAGACAAUGGAAGCCAUGUGGGCGAAGACUCAGCUGAUAAAUUCGUCAGAAAGUAUAUCCUAAAGUGAACCAUUCAUCUCACCUGCUAUGCAAGACUUCAACUGUGAUGGUGACACAGAUGGAAAAUGGACUGGAGCUUUACUGACAGUCAGUGGUUCUAGGUCAGCCUCGGUAUGCAGGAUUCACAAAGUGAAGUUGGAGAAGGAGAACUGAAGUCUAAGAACUUGCAGGUGAACAGGGAAAAUUACAUUUGAAAGGAAGCGAAACCACACAAGCCCUAGAUGCACCAUUGGUAAAUUCCUCAACUUCCAAAGAAGGAUUUCACUGUGUGGACUCUUGUGGAUGGAACAGAGUAGAAUAGUUUUGCUUAUUUCUUAGCUUCCACAGCAAUGGAAUUGUGUGGUAAUGCUACAGGUACGUGCUGUGUGACAAAACUUUUCCUGGGGACAUGCAACACACAUCUACCCAAGCUAGAUAGGGAACCCACAGCAGACCAAAGUACAGAUACCACUGUAGGGCAAAAGGUUCAAGCUCACUUCCAAAUUUGAAAGGUCACCAAAACCCACCUUAAACCCCUCCAGUCCCUGAGCUUGAAAUCCCACUAAUCCCUGAGUCUGAAAUCCUACUAGUUCCUGGGUUUGCACUGAGAUCUCACCAAUCCCUACCCUGGAAUUCUUCACCCUGGAAAACUCAUGCCCCACGAACCCCUAUAUAAAGCCGGCCUCCUGUAAGUUCCCUGCUGCUCCUCAUCCAAACCACCCUCUUGUGUGUCUUCCAAUAAAUCUCUUGUGUGA
Molecule: long non-coding RNA, 872 nt
Filed under: Mus musculus (house mouse)
Lineage: Eukaryota; Metazoa; Chordata; Mammalia; Rodentia; Muridae
Description: predicted gene, 29899
Source: RNAcentral